RNAcentral lists this long non-coding RNA (8452 nucleotides) under Gallus gallus (chicken). The record is from RNAcentral. Lineage: Eukaryota; Metazoa; Chordata; Aves; Galliformes; Phasianidae.
UGCGGGGGUAAACAGAGGGGAAUUGGGACGGCGCUUCCUCGGGUGCGGGGUGGGGAAGUCGAGGGGUUGUGGAGCUUGUGAGCAGGCACGUGUGUGAGCACACACGCUCGUGUGCGCCCCUGGAGCGCGGAGAAGUGGGUCAGCGGGGCCUGCGUGCCUGCAGGGAGCUGUGUGGCUCAGGGCUUUGUGGGGAGCUGUAAGCCGGGAUCACAGGGGGCUUUAGGAAAGUCUGCGUCCGCGCAUCUGCCUCUGUCGUGGAGUGUGCAAAGUGUGUGCGCAGGGCAUCUCGACAACUUUUCCAUGAAAAUCAAAAAUUCCUAGCAGCCUUACUCUGCGUUUUGUAGUAUGAAAGUAUAACCAUAACAAAUACAGUCAAACAGGUUUGUUGUUUUCCUUCCUCCCCCCCCCACCCCCUUUUUUUUUAAUGUCUAACUCUGCAAGUGCACAGACACAGAGCACUGGAACAGGCAGCCCAGAGAGGUGGUGGAGUGUUCUUCUCUGGAUGUAUUCAGGACCUGUCUGGACACUUUCCUAUACAACCAGCUGUAGGGAACCCAUUAGGAGGGGAUCUCUAGAGGUCCCUUCCAACCCCCACAGUUCUCUGAUAGUAACCCGUGCUGUAAUUCUGCAGGCAGGUGUUUGCUUUGUAAGCAGAGUUGCAGAUCUCCAGGAUUUUUUGUUUGAUUUUUUGUUUGUUUGUUUGAUUGAUUGUUGUCUGGGGUUUAUUUUCUUAAUCCAGCUCUCACCACAAUGGGUAACAAAUUCAAAAUUCAAGGGAUUAAGUAAUACCUGCGGUAUGUGUCUGGCUUAAAUACAGAGAUGUGCAAGUGUUGACUGGUAAUUGUAUUGUAUCUUGCAUUUUUUUUCAUUUUAGAGCAGGUCUUGUAAUUGGGAAUUUAUCAGCAUUUCCACUGGGGUAAUUUUACAGGAUUAUCCGCCCUCUGUUCUUCCUGCUGGUUCAUCUGGACUCUGUGGAGUGUGCUGCUAGCCAUGAAGCCUUCUGUGGGGGUUUAUUCAUGCUAUUACUGACAUGGAGCCCUUCGCACUUGGAUUAACUCUUUACUCACUUUUCAUCUGAAUCGCGUGGAUCAGUCUGUUUAUAAAAAGGACACUACCAUGCAUCCCUUUUCUGUUUGCAUUUUGAAGUUGAACUCUCAAUACAGACAUAAUGAGUUCAGACUGUUUACUUUGCUUGAAUUUUAGAGGAAGAACUGAAAUAUAAAGAUAGAUAAGACUAUAAUACUGCAUGGGCAGGUAAAUGCUUUUGAAAUUUUAUAUAAGAAGUCUUGAAAACAUGUCACAAAAGGCCACAAAUUGAGUGAGCAUAGUAUUCAUCAAGGUAAAAAUCACUAAGAUCAGGCAGUACUGGAUAGUAGGAAGACUUAUUCUUCUAAGCAAGUGCAACACUGACACUCUUUAAAAUGGGGUAGAAUACUCCUAAGAUAGAGCAAACUGAAAAUGCUUUCCCAACUCACCAACAAAAGAAUCUAUUUUUUAAAGCGUGGCAGUGUAAAUAAAAGCAAUCAUGUUAAACUACCCCUAAAAAGCUCAGUAUUCUUGUUUGUAGUGCAGUGUGUCGUUAUUUGGAUUGCCACCGUGCCUAGAAGGCUGGGUGGUGAACCAGAAUUCCUCAUUCCAGUUGUGCAGCACCUGCUGCAACAGGCAGUCCUGCUGCAGAGGGUGCAGCCUCCUGCUUCUGUUUGCUAGCAGGCUGCAGAGGUCUAAAAUUAGCCCCUUGUUUUGUCAUGUGGUUGUGUGUAUGUUUGUAUACAUAGAACUUGUAACAUGCCAUCCCUGGCUCAAACGGGGCCACAUGAAGUGAAGGUUAUAUGCAGACUGUAUAUUUAUGAAUGAGGGUUAUAUGCAGGCUAUAACUUUAUGAAUGAAGAUGCUAUUUAGUCUUCAGAACUGAAAUAUACAAGGCAUGUCAUUACAGGGCUUGGGGUUUUGUUUUUUUUUUUUUGCUAGGAGAAACGUGUAGCAUUCAAAGGUAAUAGUGAUGUAUGAUAGGCUUGAAAAAAUGCCCUCUACCUUAAAACCCCACGAGAAAGAUCUCAACAGAUCCCACCUAUGUUGCAUGAUGCAUAUAUUAACCUUUGCUCUGUUGCAUACAAAAGCUUCACGCAUAAAGUUCCCCGACUGAGUCACUGCAGGGCUUUAUCCAUUUUGUAUUCCCCCUUCAGUGCUGCUGCUUCACACUUGGAGGUGUGAUUAUUCUGCAGUAUCACACAAGAUUAUUAACGUUGUAUUAAGCCACAUAAUUUUGUUCCCAUGUUGAAAUUAGGUUGUGGGAGUCCACUCGACAGAGAAUCUUGGCAUAAGCUUGGGGACCUGUGCUCACAUUUUCUGCACUGAGUGAUUUCUGCAGGUGGAGCCUUAAAGAAUACAAAUGCCUAGGCAGGUCCCAUAGAAAAAGCAGUUAAAAUGCUUAACAUGUCCUUUUGAGCUACUAAUUGCACUUCCAAGAUGGUGCUUAUUUAAACAAACAAAAAAAAAAGUUGGCAACAACUCAAUUUUCUCUAUUGUAAGAGUGCAACAGGAAUCCCUUUUUUAAAUGCCUCAGAGGGCUCUUUUUAGCAAAGAAAUGGAGGAGGGCCUAGGAGCAGAGAACAUAUACAUAGUUGUUUAUCUGAGAAAUAAAAUGGUUGUUAGAAUUCUGGUUUGUGCUGUACUGGAGCUCUGAAGGAAGAGGGUUUUUUGUUUUUCUUGAAGCUGAGAAACAUAUUAGGUAUUUUACUGUGGCUGCUGGGUAGACAUGAUUGUAGCUGUGGUGUUCUGAUGGUUCUCUUCUGUGUCUUAGUUAUGUUCCUGAUCUGCAAGCUUUACUCAGCAGGUUAAGCAGCUUCCUACCUUAAGCCCAUCUGAGGGCUGUGUCUGGGAUAUGCCACAGCAAUGUUUGUGUUGUUAGGGGACAGCCACUCACUGUGGUUAGGGGACUGAGGGAAUAGUUUCAUAUACUGCACAUUACAAAUUAUCUGUGUAGCUUUACUGCUUGAGAUAUUUUGUGGUGUAAUAAGAGUGUAGCGUGGAUCACACAGGUUAAAUGGAGCUCCACAAAAGCAUCGCUCUGUUUAGAUCAGUGUGCAGGUCAGGGAUCAGAAAAUGGCCUGUGCUUCACAGACAGAUCCUUCUAUGUGGAACUCCCUGGAAUGACAUCUGCAAAGAUAGGAAGGCUUGAAAUUAAACUAAAGCAAAGCUAGGUUUGCACCUGUACAACCUGAUCCAUAUCACUUGUCAGGACAUGAGCCUGUACCAUAAUUGACUAAAUAAUUAAAACUAAAAAGGAAUUUUUUGCUGAUGGACAUCUUAAGAGAUACAAGUCUGGAGACGAGAGAGCUGGUCUUAGGAUAACAACCUGUCACAGGACAGGUCUUUCCCACAUGGAGCAGCCCUGGUGCCUUCCGCUACUACUGCUGUUCAAGUAGGAAGUAAGAAAGUAGCUGAAGACAAUUAUCCAGUGACAGAACUGAGAAAACUACUGGUCUGGUUGGUCAUUGCAGGCUGCAUCAGUACAGCCAUCUCUGAAACAGCUCUGGAAACCAACCAGUGGCAUGACUGAUGCAGUGGGAUGUUUUUUAAACCACUGCUGGUUUAAACCAUUGCAGCUGCUCCAGCACAGCUGAAUGGGGGCAGAAAGGGGGCCAGGAAAGAAAUCUACAGUGGGUUUUGCUGCAUGACAGAGGGGUUGUGAAACAGCAUCUGCAGGCUUGUUGGUCUAAACUGAAGUAAAGACAAUUCGUGAAUAGCUCGGCUGUUUCUAUCAGGAUGUGGCUAGAUGGGAGAGGAAGAGCUGUAGAAGUGAGUUUUGUAGUGUGCUGAACUAGAGUUCAGCAGCUCUAAUAUUUAGAAGCAUUUAAAUCUCUUCCUAAAAAUACUUCCUAGAUAAAACAUUCUGGAACUUGAUACUGAGAUCUGUUGUCCUUCAGAUAUAAAGCAGGAAGGCUGGAAAUGAGCUAAUGUCCAAAUCUCAUUUAAAAUAAUUAGGUUGUCUUUGACUCCAAGUUCUACUGCAAGGCUAAGAGAAUAAUGUGGGUGAAAACAGGAAGUCAGCAUGCACAAAGCAGCAGAGACAUGGAAAUUAUUCUGCAGAUGUAUGAAAUAAAACACGGUAAGGAACCUUACAGUAUACAGGGCCGUAUUUGAAAUAGCUUACAAACAUGGACAAAGAUAAAUUAUGCCAUACUUCAAACAAAAAUAGUUUUUCAUAUGAUGGAGGAUUGUCAGAUAGGAUUGUCUGGACACAGUGGGUGGAAUAAGGAUUUGUAUUUGUUGACAUCUUGGUAAGCCCAUUCUCCAACCACCUUCAGAAAGCAGGUGAGGUCAGCCUUCGGAGCCCUGGUCUUUGCACUGAUUUGCGUUUUUAAACUUAAAAUGAGGCUUCAAGAUGGAACUCUUCCAUUUAAAGUUGAUGUCUUAUGUUCCAUCUUACUUGUACAGUAUAUAAUAUGCAAUUAAAAUAAAUUCUUAAAGUAAUUAGUAGACCCAACUGGUCUUUUAAUGUAUUGGCACUUCAGAAUACACUAAAAUAGAAGAUAAAACAUUCGGAAUGUUGCCUAGCAUUCAUUAGCUAGCCAAAGUGUUUCUGGGGAUACCAGUUCAAGGUCAGGCUUUGCUUUGCAAUUUAGUUUUGCACUAAUGUUUGUUUUGUAUACAGCAGCCUUCUACUAUAGGCAUAAUUAUAAAUAAUUGCUGAUAAUUAAGAACUGUGCUAAUUGUCUGGACUCUGUGCUACACUGAGAACAUUUGGAAGUAGUAUUUCUAAUCAUUAGAUGUUUUGCAGGCUAAGGAGUAGGAAUUUGAGUGAUCAAAAUCCAUCUGAAGUGUUAUCAAGUAGAUCUGUCUGGAAGAUAGAGCAGUCAAGGACCUCUGGGCUGAAACAUGCCUUUCAUACUCUGACCCUGUUACAGUUCUCUUCUGAGCCUAAACUGAUCUUAUAGCAACUGAACGUGGAAGUGAGAAUUGCUGUGUCACACUACUGAACCUAUAGUAAAUUUUGUCACUCCUCUAGACCCUGAGGGUUACGUGUAUUCCAUUAGAAUACAGUGCUUCAGGUUGCCUGUCUGCUGGGAAAUCAUGAUUGCCAAUGGAGUGCAGGGGUGGCAGGGCUGGGGAGGGGAAGUGUGGGGCUGGAGAAUGGCAGCCUUGCUGCCCCUGCCAUGCACCUCAGCACCAAGCAGCUCAUGUUCCUAUAAAUGCAGAGUGAAGGAGGACAAAGAAGCCUUUAUUACAUUUUAAGUACCUGAAGGUUAAAAUUUAAUAAUGUGCUCAUUUUAAAAAAUAUGAAUUGACUUAUUUUUAGACUUAAUGAAACAGAGCCUGAACUACUUACGUACUAUAGCUCUGCAGACUGAUUAGGCCUUCAGGAUUGGAAAAUAGCAAACAUCCUGCAACUUUGUGACUUGGCUGAUAGGAACCAAGGUGCUUUGUGUGUCCCCCCCCUUCACAAACAAAAUUCCAGCAAGUUUGACUCUCAUUCAGCUCCAUGUAGAGUAAGAGCUUUGCAGAAUUACCUUAUAGAUUUUGUGAAAGAACACUAAAGCACUUGUCAGCCUCAAAGUUUUCUGUAGUACAGCUUAUUUAUGCAAAACCAAAUAACUUCAUCUGAUUACCUGUAUUACAGAUACUCACUCAACCAGCAUAUACUGACUUAAUCAAUACCUUAUACAUAGUUGUGAUGCACACUCACAUACCCUCCCAGUAUGUAAGCCUGCAGAAGAGGAAGGGUUCCUUAUUGUUUUGUAUUGGCAGCCAGGUAAAACUCUGGUUUUGGAGCUUUUCAAAAUAUGAUGAGGCAGUAUUACUUCCCUGAUGGAGCCAUUAAAUGUUAAUACACUGACAGCCCCUAAAGCAUCAUCCUACUGAGUGAAAAAGCACUUGAAAUGAAUCAGUUGGCUUUGUGUCGGGUACUCAACAUCUUUUUCCUCCCCUUUCUUAAUUUAAAUUAUUCCAGCAUUAAGCAAUCAGUGGGUUAAGGGAGUCUUUGACAUUUUCCCCACACAUUAGAGAUAACUUCUUGGGGGUGGGGGAGUGUUCCAGGACUCACAGUAUGCUGCUCCCCUGUGCAAGCAGUGCUAACAUGCCAUCCCUCUCCACUACAGAGGGAAGACAAUGUAAAUCCCAGGGUGUAUUCUGAAAAGUGUUCAUUAUUGUUUAGCAAGUUCCCUAAUCUGAUCUUUUUCCCUAGUUUUGUAUUUUUAAUGCUAUAUGCUUAAAAAACCCUACUCAAAUAAUCUUCUAUAAAAUGCCAAGAAUGCUUACUCUGUUCAACAAAUACAUGUUUACACAGACUUUUCUCCUCCCAGUAUGCAAGUCUUACAUAAAUAUUAAGUGUUCUCAGAGCUCUUUUAUGUAUAUUUCAGUAGAGCAGUCAUAUUCACUCUUAGUAUUAAAUGUAAGGUUGCAUUGCAAUAGAUAGGCAUCUCCUCAAACUUGUGAGCAUUCAACAUGAAAUUAUCUGUGGUGUUCUGCUGGGCUUUAGUCUGUUUUCCUCCUCAUUGGAGGAAACAUUUCUGCACUUUGGUUUAUCUGUUUGCAUAGUUAUGCACUGUAGCAAGAUAGAACCAGAAGCAGUAUUACAUAGCAGGGUGUAAGUUGGCUUUGGGUUAUUGUGUGAAGCUGUGAGUGGUUGGGUAAUCCAGAGGUGUACCACAUCAGAGCUUUUUUUAACAUAAUGUAUCUGAAUAAAACAAAAAUGACUGCUAUGAAAUUUAAAAUGAUUUGUAGGUAUAUCAAGAAUUAAAGAACUAAAUGCCUUUCUCUGUACAGGUUUUAUGGGGAGUGCAUGCAGGUAUGUUUGUGUCCCAAAUUUUAAAUAAGGAUUUAGCUAAAGUGCAUUGAAUUUACCUCAUGUGGCACUUGAGGUCCAGCUGGGAUACACUGGGUAUGUUUGCUUCUUUUCCUCACUGCUAUAUCUUCCCUAUAACUACUUUCUCCAUUAUUUUUCAGGAUUAAGAUCAUUAAAUAGUUUGUUGUCCAUACAUGGUAUGGACUGAGAGUACCUGCAGGUAUUGCCUCAACUCAUCCAUUCAAGUGGGUGUGAAGCUCUGCCAUAAACCUGCUCAAGCUUCUCUUGUUUUCUGCAGGGAAACAGGUGUUGCACCUCAUCAUCCCAGCCAGGGCAGCAGCCAUGUGCAUAGGGCUGUUGCUUCAUUUGUCUGUACUUUAGGCUGAAAUGUAGUUCAAUUCCCAUAGAAAUCAUCACUUACUCAGUAAAAUGUCAACACUGAAGGGAACACAAAAGCAAUAAACUUAACUCUCUUUGAGCAAACACUUCCUUAAAGAACAGUUAAUGGUUCGUGGGAAAUGCAGAAAAUGAGCAUACUUGAAAGAACAAGUUUAGUAAAUUCUGAUUUUUAUAGUGAACAUAGGAAUACAGUAUUAUAAAAUUAGCUUAAUUUCCCCCCUCCCAGAGAGGAAUGGGUAUCUUUUAGGUGCAUUUCUGUUGUUCCUUCUCUUUAAAGUUUAAAGCAGUAGUUUCUAUUCUUCCUAAUAAAGCUCAAUAGCAGAGAUAUUAACCCUUUAUAUACAGGCUAACAUUUUUGAUUUGACUAUACAUAAGGACUACUAUAGUUUUGUUAUCUAAAAAGCACUGUACCUUGACUUUACAUAGGAUUUUAGACUUUGUUCAGCGUUACUAUUUAACUAAUGCCUAGAUGAUGGCAGUUGGAAGCAAGAUUUUGCUUCCUGCUGGGCAAGAGGAAGAUUUUAGGUGGAUAUGGCCAGAAAAACAAUCACAUUGUUGUCUAGAUUUUAGUCUGUUAAGGAGCUGUGCUGCAAAUACACACUUAAAUUACUACUAUAAUGCAGAAAAUUGGACUCCCCCAAAUGCAUUCCUUCUUUUUCCUCCCACUCUAGCUUUUGGCCAGCUUACAUCUCUUAUCCAGCUCAUCUCCUUACCAGAGAAAAACCAGUGUUGAUGCAAGAGUGAAGGGGGAACAGUCUUGGGGAGGGAGGAACCACAGCAGGACCAGCUUAGUUCUGCUUAGCAUGAUAUGAAACCUCUAGGCAAGCAGCUGGGGAUGAGGAGAAUCCCAAAUUAACUUUGAGUUCAAGGCUUAUCAGGCAGUGCCAGAAUCACUUAUGUGUGGGGAAAACCUUUGGAUCUGAUUUUUGAGCAAAGUCUUGGAUUACAUGAAGUUUCAAGGUUAGAGGCACAAAGUUACAGAGGAAUCAGAUCUGGUAUGAACAUCCAGUAUUAGAGUUUGGAAUGGGGGAAAAAAGAAGGCCUCACAUGUUAAAAUAUUAGAUUUUUGAUUGACUGACUAGGUUACACUAUAUAGUAAGUAUAGCUUUAGUACUGCAGAGUGCAGCCUCUCCUACUGCUUUCAGUAGAGCAGAAGUAACCUGGCAGUCAGUCAGCAUGUGCCUUCUGCACAGGCAUAAGAAAAACACACUUCAGUUAUCUGGUUGCUUCCAGCCUAAUCAGACUUUGGUUUUUAUAGUUUAUUCCCAG